GACGAACGCUGGCGGCGUGCUUAACACAUGCAAGUCGAACGGAAAGGCCUGCUUUCCCUUGUGGAUUGCGGGUACUCGAGUGGCGAACGGGUGAGUAACACGUGAGUGAUCUGCCCCCAACUUGGGUAUAAGCCUGGGAAACUGGGUCUAAUUCCCGAUAGGACUGCAGGGUGGUGCCUGUGGUGGAAAACGAUUUUCUAGUGGUUGGGGAUGAGCUCGCGGCCUAUCAGCUUGUUGGUGGGGUAAUGGCCUACCAAGGCGGCGACGGGUAGCCGGCCUGAGAGGGUGGACGGCCACAUUGGGCCUGAGAUACGGCCCAGACUCCUACGGGAGGCAGCAGUGGGGAAUAUUGCACAAUGGGCGGAAGCCUGAUGCAGCGACGCCGCGUGGGGGAUGACGGCCUUCGGGUUGUAAACUCCUUUCGACCGCGAGGAAGCCACCUGGUUGGAAGGGUGGUGACGGUAGUGGUAGAAGAAGCACCGGCUAACUACGUG
RNAcentral lists this ribosomal RNA (494 nucleotides) under uncultured bacterium. RNAcentral's name for it is "partial 16S ribosomal RNA". It matches the Rfam family "Bacterial small subunit ribosomal RNA", at positions 28 to 507 of the family's 1533-position model. The record is from RNAcentral.